This 1017-nucleotide ribosomal RNA is filed under the name Salmonella enterica. Its description in RNAcentral is "partial 23S ribosomal RNA". It matches the Rfam family "Bacterial large subunit ribosomal RNA", at positions 1917 to 2925 of the family's 2925-position model. Lineage: Bacteria; Pseudomonadati; Pseudomonadota; Gammaproteobacteria; Enterobacterales; Enterobacteriaceae. The record is from RNAcentral. RNAcentral also lists the same sequence under 1 other name.
GCCCCGGUAAACGGCGGCCGUAACUAUAACGGUCCUAAGGUAGCGAAAUUCCUUGUCGGGUAAGUUCCGACCUGCACGAAUGGCGUAAUGAUGGCCAGGCUGUCUCCACCCGAGACUCAGUGAAAUUGAACUCGCUGUGAAGAUGCAGUGUACCCGCGGCAAGACGGAAAGACCCCGUGAACCUUUACUAUAGCUUGACACUGAACAUUGAGCCUUGAUGUGUAGGAUAGGUGGGAGGCUUUGAAGUGUGGACGCCAGUCUGCAUGGAGCCGGCCUUGAAAUACCACCCUUUAAUGUUUGAUGUUCUAACGUGGACCCGUGAUCCGGGUUGCGGACAGUGUCUGGUGGGUAGUUUGACUGGGGCGGUCUCCUCCUAAAGAGUAACGGAGGAGCACGAAGGUUGGCUAAUCCUGGUCGGACAUCAGGAGGUUAGUGCAAUGGCAUAAGCCAGCUUGACUGCGAGCGUGACGGCGCGAGCAGGUGCGAAAGCAGGUCAUAGUGAUCCGGUGGUUCUGAAUGGAAGGGCCAUCGCUCAACGGAUAAAAGGUACUCCGGGGAUAACAGGCUGAUACCGCCCAAGAGUUCAUAUCGACGGCGGUGUUUGGCACCUCGAUGUCGGCUCAUCACAUCCUGGGGCUGAAGUAGGUCCCAAGGGUAUGGCUGUUCGCCAUUUAAAGUGGUACGCGAGCUGGGUUUAGAACGUCGUGAGACAGUUCGGUCCCUAUCUGCCGUGGGCGCUGGAGAACUGAGGGGGGCUGCUCCUAGUACGAGAGGACCGGAGUGGACGCAUCACUGGUGUUCGGGUUGUCAUGCCAAUGGCACUGCCCGGUAGCUAAAUGCGGAAGAGAUAAGUGCUGAAAGCAUCUAAGCACGAAACUUGCCCCGAGAUGAGUUCUCCCUGAGACUUAGAGUCUCCUGAAGGAACGUUGAAGACGACGACGUUGAUAGGCCGGGUGUGUAAGCGCAGCGAUGCGUUGAGCUAACCGGUACUAAUGAACCGUGAGGCUUAACCUUACA